ACUCCCUAUUUUGAUAUUAGACCUAAUCCCUAAAACCAGAGGAGCACUCCGAACCUAGAUCCUCCUUUGAGGGGCCCCCUCUCUCGUUUUCUGUCUCACCUCAUCGCUGGCGAGCUCAGCCAAAAACCGGCGAUGGCUACUGCUCCUCCUCCUCCGACGUCUUCCCCAUUCUUUGUUACUGCUGCGACGUAAGGUGGCGGAUCUGGCCGGAAAUCCGAAUUUAAAAGCUAUGGAGUUUCAAUUAAGGUUUCAUGCGUCGUUGAAUUGAGGUUGUCGUCGAGGUACCCGGUUCGAGCUUUCCAUUUAGUUGGUGGUUCGGGUAGUAUUUGAGUUAUAUCGGUACUCUCUUCCUCGAUGUAUUCAGAGAAAUUCAAUAUUUAAACAAAUUUCAAAGCUUCUGUUCAUUUAAAGCUCCGGUGGCGGUCCGAUUUGUAGCUGUAUACGUAAGAAACCAUGUGGUCUGUUGCUCAUUUUAAGUUAACAUACUCAUUCAUGGGGAUUCAUUUUAACCAGAAAAGUUUCAUUCUCGAGGGGCGCUGCAUCUUUAAUGGAUGCAUGUGGUUCCACAGCAGGCGGCAUCGAUCAGUGAUAGCGGUACACCCUCUUCUCAGCUGACUUGGUGAGCCCCACUUCAUAUCGGGAUCUUGUAUAUUUUGUUUCUUAUGGAUAGUGUUGUGAUUUAAGCCGGUGUCUUAUUUCUAGAACAAUCAUAUUAGUCUUUUCUAUAAAUUAGAGGAUCUGUAGACAUAGUGUGGGUUGUACCUUGAUUUGGAAUGUCAAACUAGAAAUGUUGUAUAUGUAUCACAUGUUUCCACUUCUA
This is a long non-coding RNA of Nicotiana tabacum (common tobacco), 820 nucleotides long. RefSeq lists it as uncharacterized. Lineage: Eukaryota; Viridiplantae; Streptophyta; Magnoliopsida; Solanales; Solanaceae. The record is from RefSeq and is a predicted model, not a curated record.